UUGAGAAACGCUGCUCUAGAACAAUGCACAGUUUUUCUUUACAACAAUGCAUCUUUUCCUCUAGAUAGUUUAGAAAACAAUACAUACUUUUCCUCUAAAACAAUGCAUAGUUUUUCCUUUAUAACAAUGCACGUUUGUCAUCUUGAAUGCAUUCCCUUCCUCUUAUUGCAAUAGAUUAAAAAUCAGAAAUGCAAACUCCUAAAAACGUUUAUGGGUUUUAGAAAUGGUUCAUUCAGAUUUAAACAUUCUAGAAUAUUUGAUUUAUCUAGAAUAAUGUUCUUUAACCGAUAAGUAAUGAGCUCACGACUUACGCCAGGUCUCAAAUAUUAAGUAAUUUUAAGUAAAACGUAUGGAAAACACUCAGCGGAAUUAAUUUUUAUCAAUUAAGACUUACUUUUAUUAACUGAUUUUAUUAACUUUUUUAAAUUGGCCAUUGAUUAAAUUAGUUUAAUUUUAACACAUAGGUAAGCAACAAGGAAACGUUACUGUUAAAUGGCUCCAUCUGUCGAAAGAUUCGAGAAACUUUUAGACAUUUUCUCCCAUUCAAGCAUGUUUAAAGUUGAAAAAUAAAUUUCUAAUUUUUAAAAAUUUUUAAAUCAAGUACACGAAUGACAAAAUAUGGAACUAAACAAUCAAAUGACUGAGAUAUUUUACGAGUAAUAAUCGCGUGGUUUUUUUUGCUGUACUUUACUGUAUUCAUCGCAUCCAGUAAAAUGACUCAUAUGAAAAUAUUACUUACAUUGGCAUCAGCUAGUGCCGCAAAAUUGGGUGUUAGAUAAAAUUUGAUUCCUUCGGCAGCUCCCGGAAGAGUGAUACCCCGAAAGAGAAGAAUGAAGAGAACAACAUAGGGAAAGAGUGCAGUGAACCACACUACCUUAAAAUAGAUGGAUAGAGCUUAUUAUUUAGAAUAACAAGCAUUAUUUUUAUUCGCACAUUAAUUGAUCUGAACGAGGUAUUUAAAUUAUAUAGGGCACGAUAAAAUUCAAAUGCUCAUUUCUAAUAUGUAAAACGAUAUAUUAUGUGUAGAAAAUUAGGAAAAGAAUCAAUCCAUCAUUUUCAGGAAGUGGCAAAUUAUCGGGAAGAGAAAAAAAGCAAUGAAUGGUAAAUAAAAUGAAAGAAGAGAAUUGGCUGUCUAGAAGAAAAAGUCACAUAAUUACAUAAAUCCGGAAGAUCAAGACAUGGAAACUCACUCUCCCUUACUUCCUUCUCUUCUGACCAAUUAAAACGCUUUAACGACAUGCGGACUUCCCUCUCCUCUGCUGAUGCCUCAGUUCUGAGCUUGAAUACUCUUUCUCCUAUUCACUCACACUCUAAAAACUUCUUCCAACUCGUCACGUGACCCUCGUCGAAUAUCUUCUCCUAUUUUCCUCUCUAUAUAUCCUCGUCCAGAUAAAAAAUAUUUGUAUCUUUUCCAGUAGAUUUUUUUAAAAGUUUUCUUUAAUUCAAAGCUUAUUUUAAAUAAUAUAUAUAUUUAUCUUAAUAUUUUGACAUUUCUG
This is a long non-coding RNA of Centruroides sculpturatus (bark scorpion), 1496 nucleotides long. RefSeq lists it as uncharacterized. NCBI's taxonomy places the organism in Eukaryota, Metazoa, Arthropoda, Arachnida, Scorpiones, Buthidae. The transcript is spliced from 3 exons. The record is from RefSeq and is a predicted model, not a curated record.